CUCAUUUCUCCCUCACUGUGCGUCUGCGGCACGCUCAUCUCUGCUCACACUGUAGGGAGGCAGAGUGUACCUGUGCACAUCCCACCACCCGGCACACGAUGGGGCUGGAAACUGAAGACGCAAGGAAGUAAAGCGGCUUUCCUGCUCCCCAGGAGGGAGAACUGCUGAGAAGGAAGCGCUGUGGUGGCCUCCCCAGAAGGACAGAACCAUCCGGCAGAUGGCGCUGACGAGGCAGAGCCUGCUUCCGGACCCCUCACCCCUGGGCAGACUGGAAAACAGAGAGGCCGUUAACGGUUCUCACAAACCAGGUGCUGUCACCUGUGAUCACUCUUCUCAGCUAAGUCACCUGGGACCUCCCCGUCGUCCCCUGCGGGUCCUGUCUCACCUGCUCUCUCUGGCGAGAACCACGCCAUCUGUGCUGAUGCUUCUCUUGCAUCUUCCCUUUCUUGCUUAG
RNAcentral lists this long non-coding RNA (454 nucleotides) under Fukomys damarensis (Damara mole-rat). RNAcentral's name for it is "lncRNA (ENSFDAG00000030783.1)". The record is from RNAcentral. Lineage: Eukaryota; Metazoa; Chordata; Mammalia; Rodentia; Bathyergidae.